This 492-nucleotide ribosomal RNA is filed under the name uncultured bacterium. RNAcentral describes it as "partial 16S ribosomal RNA". It matches the Rfam family "Bacterial small subunit ribosomal RNA", at positions 29 to 507 of the family's 1533-position model. The record is from RNAcentral.
AGUGAACGCUGGCGGUAGGCCUAACACAUGCAAGUCGAACGGCAGCACAGUAAGAGCUUGCUCUUACGGGUGGCGAGUGGCGGUCGGGUGAGGAAUACAUCGGAAUCUACUUUUUCGUGGGGGAUAACGUAGGGAAACUUACGCUAAUACCGCAUACGACCUACGGGUGAAAGCAGGGGAUCUUCGGACCUUGCGCGAUUGAAUGAGCCGAUGUCGGAUUAGCUAGUUGGCGGGGUAAAGGCCCACCAAGGCGACGAUCCGUAGCUGGUCUGAGAGGAUGAUCAGCCACACUGGAACUGAGACACGGUCCAGACUCCUACGGGAGGCAGCAGUGGGGAAUAUUGGACAAUGGGCGCACGCCUGAUCCAGCCAUACUGCGUGGGUGAAGAAGGCCUUCGGGUUGUAAAGCCCUUUUGUUGGGAAAGAAAAGCAGCAGGUUAAUACCCCGCUGUUCUGACGGUACCCAAAGAAUAAGCACCGGCUAACUUCGUG